CUUCGGCAGGUGAAACCCCGUGCCGGUGUCGCCCCUGCACCCACCGCCACCUCCGCGCCGGUGUUCUCCACCUGACAGUGAAGAGCACCUCAAUCACAUCUAAGGAAGACAUGGGCGAUGAGUCUGCGCGUGAGUACUAUGACAUCGUCAGCAAGACUUUUGCUAGUGAGGAUGAUGCCUUUGAGUUCUAUAACAACUAUGCUCUUGAGAAAGGUUUUAGUGUGCGGAAAAGCUAUGUUGAGUGGGAUGAAGCCAACCAGGAGAUAAUUCUGAGGAAACUUGUCUGUAGUCGUCAAGGUUCGCGAGAAGAGAAGCACAUGAAGAGAGAAGAUAGGAAGAGGAGGCCACGGCAUCUCACUCGUGUUGGGUGUCGAGCCAAAUUGGUCAUUGCAAAACUCAAGGAAACAGGUCGGUGGUUUGUGAAGGAUUUCAUCGAUGAACACACCCAUCCUCUGGCCCCACCGGAUCUUGCUUGUCUGCUGCAUUAUCAUGCUACUGUGUUGUUUGCCUGUGCGAAAUCAUCAGUUAUCUAAACUUCUAUCUGUGGAAGGGCAAGAUGCAAAAGUUUGAUUCAGUACCCUGAACUGUGACAAUCCCUUUAUUUGUUCUUUUCCACAAAAUUGCCUUAUAUUGCUGUGACAACAUCUCCGAUCAGAGGUUAUUAGCUAAGUCACACAUGUUUGUAUUCAGACUGGAUGUCCAAACACAGUAUCCCCUCAGGCCAAAAGAGUCUGUCCACUUCAACCAAGAAAACACCAUCUCCAACAUUCCAACACCAGAGACCAAAGUAGCAUUACAUACAGUAAAUGAGCUAUUACUGUAAUUUCAUCAAAAGUACAAAGUGAUUUUAUGUUCAUAGUACAAGGAAUCAAGGGAAGUCUGAAUUUUUAACUUUUGGUAGACAA
Molecule: long non-coding RNA, 905 nt
Organism: Lolium rigidum
Lineage: Eukaryota; Viridiplantae; Streptophyta; Magnoliopsida; Poales; Poaceae
Exons: 2
Source: RefSeq, a predicted model, not a curated record